CACCAGUAUGGAGAGGCAACAGUCUUUAGAUGACUGGGACUCACCAUUUGAAAAGAGAGUCUUCCACCCUGAACAUGGGCCAUAGAAACACUGGCAAUUCAUUACUCUUUAGCUCUCCUUUUUUUGGUCUCUAUCAGUUGCCAGGAGCUUCUCUCACUGGAUUACCUCAUGGGCCUGCUCCAAUUAAUUAGAUAACUGCAUCUCUUACAUUAGCUAAUCUUUAAAUUAGUCUCCUCCUAAUGAAAUUUUAAGGAAGGCCCACAGGCUCCUUGAUGAAAUUUGAAAGGCCUCUUGGUCUUAUCAGCCACAAUUUUUAGAAAUUAUUAACUUAAGCAACAUUACAGCCAAAAGAAUCCAUUGAGUAUGAAGCUCAAACAACACAUCUUCCUGUGGUCAUUCUCAAGUGCUAUUGGACACAUUUUCUCCAUGUUCUAACGAAUGUCUGUGCCCUCUGUUUUGUUCUGCCUUUUUCAUACAGUGUUAUUCCAUAAACAAAUCUUCAAUAUUAAUCAUGUUUUAAUAGCAAGUUAUUCCAACAAAAUAUUCAUCUUAGCAUGCUGAGAUAUGUCCCUCCAGUGGGGUGUUUGAAGCAGCUAAAAAUCUCAGCUGGCAGAUAUGAUGUCUACAAGACACGAAGGAUAUGAGGGCACUGGGAAUGACAUGAAACAAACAGAAAUGAAAUAAACUGCACAACAUUAGAGUUGGGAGUAUCCUAGGGGCCUGUCUGGUCUAAUCCUUUCAUUUUACAAAUGUAAAAACUGAGGCCCAAUGAGGAGAUGUGACUUGCCUGAGGCUACAUAAUUAAUCAGCCCCCUCCAUUGGGUGGGGACAAGCUCCAGCAAAGGAGCAGCUUCUGCUGGCCUUCCGGGAGUAAGGAAGAGUGCUGUGGUGAUGGGUUGCUGCUCUGCAGACAUGACCCAGCAGCCUCACAAAGGGUCAGCACAGAGGCAUCCAUGCUCAGAUCUUGGGCUGGAAGCAUCCCACAGAGGGGAAAGGAAGGCAUCAGAGCCAAACAUGUGGCAUUCGUCCACUCCCACCCAGCACUUGGAGGUGUGAAAAGACAUCCCAAAAGGGAGAACCCAAAAGAGACAGGCAGCUAGAAACUCCUACACAGCUCGCUUCGCUGCAAGACAGAGCCAAGCAUGCCAAGCACGGGGGCGAGGAGCCCAGGCAGGAGGGGCCUUGGAAAAGUCAUAAACAGCAGCUGCAACGUGAAGAUCCACCCCACCCCCAAAACCUCCCCCAUGGAGUCAGGUAGACUGGCAUGUACUGGAACGGUGGGACUGGGUUGAACUUUCGAAGCCAGCUGGUCUCACUACCUCCUCUGACAGAUGUAGAGACCAAGACCUAGGAUCAGGAAGGGUCUCACUCACUCAAGGUCACACACAGAAUGAGGGGCUGACCUGUUUAUAGAAUGGAGCAGUCCUAAUUCCAGUCCAGGACACUGUCCUGGGGUCUCCCUUUUUCUGGGGCCAGGGAAAGUAAAUAAUAGCAACUUUUGGAGGGAUGGGUGUAUAAGAUGACACCAAUUGAUUAAUUAGGCGUUUGUUGACUCCAGCCACCUAUUCACACAUUCUUCUAGAUGUCAGCAUUUGUUGCUUCGGUGGCUUUAACUGGCUGUAGGGUCUUAGGAAAACUGCAUAGAUUUGCAUGGUUCUAUUUCUUCACCUGCAAAAUGGGGCUAAUAAUUGGACCUACUUCAUGGGUGGUUGUAUGAGUUAAAUGUGAAGCACUUAGCACAAUACCUGGGGCUGUGAUGAAUGGUAUGUUAUCAUUCUAUUCCACCAGAGGACUGCUUCCUCCACCCAUGCAGCCUUUCCCAUGGGAAAGUUUCCAUUUCUCCAAUGGGUUUACAUCAUCUACUAUCUUCUCAAUGUGGUAACUGUGCAUCUCUGUCUUCACGAAUCAAGAGCUGACUCACCACAAGUUCCAGACCAGUGUUUCCCAAACUGGAGUAUUUUCCGAGAGUUAUGAAUUCUUGAAGUGUCUUUUUUCAUCUUGUUAAUUAUAGAUUUAGGAAAAUCUACCUCAUCCCUUGAGGGAAGAGAAAUGUCCCCAAAGCUGCUGGCUCCCCUCUCUCCUCUGCAUUAAGUUCGUUUCUUUUUGAUUGCCCUCUGGUUCUAAUCAUUCAAGAAGAGAGCGGCCCCAGGCACCAAAUUAGAACUGGAAGCGAGGGGAUGAGAAAAAGACCCAGAAUGAAUGAUAGGCUUUGGAAAAGGGCAAAUUGCAGUUCUCCCCGUAUCUUCUGGGAGCCAGCUCUUUUCUAAAGGAUUUAAGGGAGGCUAAGGACCCAUGGGGAGGCAAGAAGAUGGGAGUCUGGGAACAGGAUACUGCGGAUAAGAAUUUGUUCUUCUUUAAGCCUCCAAGGGAAAAAAAAAAAAAAAAACCAGGAGGGAAAAUUGUAAACUAACCCUUUGCUUAGUUUGCCCAGAAUCCUUCAGCGGGGUGAGCACCACCAUCCUGAAGGUCAACCUCCACUCACAAGGGUUCAUGUGCUACAACUGCCUGGACCCAAUACCACUCUUGGGGACUCUUCCCAGUCAAUACCGGCAAAGGUGGCUGUUGACCCAGGGGUGCUUCUGGGGAUCUCUGAGAACAGGAGAAGAGGAAAGGUGAUCUUAGUAGGGAUGACACAUUCCUUGCUUCCUGUUCAAGAUUGCAGAGCACUUUCCCAUGAGCUUCUGGAUUGACCAGAGGAACAGCAAGAAUACUCCUGUUUGCAGAGAAAUGGCUCACACAGCCAGCCAGUAGUAGGGAGAACUGAAAAUACUUGUCCUUAAUCCUAGAGUGCAAGAAAUAAGCAUGGCAAGCCCUGGAAAGAACAUCAGGAAAGCAUUUCUUCCAGAUAAGGUCCAAGCAUGCUCAUUUUAUAGAUGAGACACCUGAGGCCCAGGGAGAUGAAGGGCUUGUCCAGAGCACUAAGUUUUUAGCUGUGGAGGAAGACUAGAACCCAGGCCUCCUGGAUCCACUUUUCUUCCCCAUCCCUGCAGCCUCCAUCCCAGGGAGUCUGGAGUCUUUUCCAGUGUACUGUGUGACCUCAGGGCCUCCUGCAGAGCCCUGUACACUGUUGCCUUCUCAAAUGCCCUCCUGCCCCUAUCAUUUCUUCCUCAUGAGUCACUACCAUAUUAUAAGUUAUAAAUAUUGGGGCCCAUUUGGAUAUGUUUGUUUGGAUAGCUCACAUAUUUAAGUUUUUAUUAGGAAAUGCAAAAAAAUGCAACAAAUACUAUUGAUAUAGUUUGGAUGUUGUCCUCUCUACGUCUCACGUUAAAUUGUAAUCCCCAGUGUUGGAGGUGGGCCGUGGUGGGAGGUGAUUGUAUCAUGGAGGUGGAUUUCUCAAGAAUGGUUUAGCGCCGUCCUCUUCAUGCUAUCCUUGCAAUAGUGAGUGAGUUAUUGCAAGAUCUGGCUGUUUAAGAGUGUGUGGCAUCUUCCCCUUCAGACUCUUUUUUUUAAUUUUUUUUAUUUCCGUACGUUAUUGGGGAGCAGAUGGUAUUUGAUUACAUGAGUAAGUUCUUUGGUGGUGACUUGUGAGAUUUUGGUGCACCCAUCACCCAAGCAGUACAUACUGCACCCAAUUUGUAGUCUUUUAUCCCUCACCCCCUUCCCACCUUUCCCCUGAGUCCCCAAAGUCUAUUGUGUCAUUCCUAUACCUUUGCAUCCUCAUAGGAGUGAAAGAAUAUGAUGUUUGGUUUUCCAUCCCUGAGUUACUUCACUUAGAAUAAUAGUCUCCAGUCUCAUCCAGGUCACUGUAAAUGCCAUUAAUUCAUUCCAUUUAUGGCUGAGUAGUAUUCUAUCAUAUAUACACCACAGUUUCUUUAUCCACUUGUUAAUCGGUGGGCAUUUGGGUUGGUUCCACGUUUUUGCAAUUGAAAAUUGCGCUGCUAUAAACAUGCAUGUGCAAGUAUCUUUUUCAUAUAAUGACUUCUUUUCCUCUGGGUAGAUGCCCAGUAGUGGGAUUGCUGGAUCAAAUUGUAGUUCUACUUUUCUCCACACUGUUUUCCGUAGUGGUUGUACUAGUUUACAUUCACACCAGCAGUGUAGAAGUCCCUCAGACUCUUGUUCCUGCUCUCACGAUGUGAGAUGACAGCUCCCUCUUCACCUUCCACCAUGAUUGGAAGCUUCCUGAGGGCUCCCCAGAAGCUGAGCAGAUGCUGGUGCCAUGCCUCCUGUAUAGCCUGCAGAACCAGCCUCAGGCUGGGAUCCCUGUGCCACCCUUCUUAUCCCUGCACCUCAGGUGUGGCAGUUUUCAGGCAUGUCCAUGUGAAGAGACCACCAAACAGGCUUUGUAUGAGCAAUAAAGCUUUUUAAUCACCUGGGUGCAGGCAGGCUGAGUGCAAAAAGAGAAUCAGCAAAGGGAGAGAGGGAUGGGACUGUUUUAUAGGAUUUGGGUGGGUAGUGGAAAAUUACAGUCAAAGGGGGUUGUUCUCUUGUGGGCAGGGGCGGGGAUCACAAGGUGCUCAGUGGGUGAGCUUCUGAGCCAGGAGAAGGACUUUCACAAGGUUAGUUGCUCAGUUAAGGUGGGGCAGGAACAAAUCACAAUGGUGGAAUGUCAUCAGUUAAGGCAGGAACCGGCCAUUUUCACUUCUUUUGUGAUUCUUCACUUGCUUCAGGCUAUCUGGACAUAUACGUGCAGGUCACAGGGGAUAUGAUGGCUUAGCUUGGGCUCAGAGGCCUGACAUUCCUGCCUUCUUAUAUUAAUAAGAAAAAUAACAUAAAAUUGUAUUGAAGUGUUGGGGCAGUGAAAAUUUUUUGGGGGGUGGCAUGGAGAGAUAAUGGGCGAUGUUUCUCAGGGCUGCUUCAAGUGGGGGGUGGGAACCUAGAGUGGGAGACAUUAAGUUGAAGGAAGAUUUUGUGGUAAGGGGUGAUAUUGUGGGGUUGUUCGAAGGAGCAUUUGUCAUAUAGAAUGAUUGAUGAUGGCCUGGAUAUGGUUUUGGAUGAAUUGAGAAACUAAACGGAAGACACAAGGUCCAAAUUAGAGAAGGAGAAAAACAGGUAUUAAAGGACUAAGAAUUGGGAGGACCCAGGACAUCCAAUUAGAGAGUGCCCAAGGGGGUUCAGCAUAAUUACUUGCUUGGUUGGAGAGUUUUUGGGCUCUAUCCUUGAGUUUUUUUAUGUUGUCAUACACCAGACCAGAUUGAUUUAGGUAAAAACAACACUCUUCAUUUAAAAAUAUAGAGUCCUUUUUUUUCAGCAGUAAGUCAAGGCCUCGGCGGUUUUGGAGGACAACUGCAGCUAAAGAGUCAACUUGGGCCUGGAGGACUGAUAAAGUUUGUGAUAUGUCUGUGACGCUAGCAGAGAAGUCAUUAGAGAGGCUACGGAAGGUCGUGACAGAGGUUGAAACGCCUGCUGUUCCAGUACCAAGAGCAAUAGUGGAGGCAGAAAGUCCUAAACCGACAAGCAAGGGAAUUAGUGGAAUAACUCUUUUUUGUUGUGUCAUGAGGGGAACAGGGAGCUCUUCAGUCCCAUUUGCAAAUUGAAUUUUGGGAGUAAGGAAAACAGUGUGCAUGUGCCUGUCCAAUUAGCAGGUAGACACAUGUAGGUAGAGGAUCCACAGAGGAAGAAAAGACCUUGUGCGAGGCAAAACUGGAAAUGCAAAGUAAAAAGAUGAGAAGGAGUGCUGAAAGAGGUGUCUUGUACCUGGACUACUAGGGAUCCAGCUAGGGCGGCAGCCAUCAGAGGUUGUAAUGGGGACUGAUGGGGUAACUGCAUAGAGGGGAAGGUUCGAUUUUCAUGGUGUAUGAGAAAACGUUGAGUGUCUACAAGCAACCUUUCACUGUUAUUUACGGGGCUGGGUAUAAGUAAACAAGAAGAGGGCCUGGGAGGAGAGUCUGAAAAGCAAGGGGAAGGUAGCCAAGGAUGGAGUGAAAUACAGGGUAAGUGUCUUCCUAAGUAAUAAUUACUGCUAACGUUUUUAAGUUUGCCAGUAUUGAUAGAGGGCUUAUCUGUAAUACGGAGCUGGAAGGCCCCAAUUGUUUCAGUGAUGUGUGUAGUUGUGUUUUGGAGAUGAAGAGUGAAGGAACAUUGAGAAGGUGAAAGGUUACCCAGGGGAAUUCCAGUGGGUCUUUGCUGAGAGAUACAUAAAGGAGCAGCCACAGGAAUAGUUUGUGUUGUGAGGGGUCCAAAUAUGGGGGGAGUAGAGUUGAUAUAAGGAGAAAGGUUUUUAAAGUAAGUGCAGAGGAGGGCGGCAGCUUGCUGAUGUGAAAUGUCUGGGGAGGUCUUGCUGGACCUGCCUAGAAAGUAAAGAAGUUCUUCAGGAGGGUAAAGGUGAGGGCUGUUAAAGGAAGUUCGGAGGUGUAGGGAUACAGGAGAUGUUGCCCAGUCUGUAUGUAAGGCGGGGACAGCUGUGUAGGUGCAGGAAGAAAGGGAAAUGCAAAGCCAGCAAUUACUCACUAAGGAGGGAUUAGAAAUGGCUAGGAGACAGUGAGUAAGGUUGAUAGUGUUGUGGAGAUAGCUGGGGAGAGGUUGAGGGUGGCAUAAGAAUGGAAAUGAGAAUAAAAGUGAGUAUAAAAGUAAAGAAUAGAACUGCAUCAGGGUGAAAAUAUUGGAGGGUGCCCUGCCAGCAAAGAUCAUCUAUCCACUCUAAGAGGGAGUUAAGAGUGGUAGUUUGGGGAUAGCACUAGGAGAUAUCAGCUGUGAUGGCUUGGAGAAACAGCAUAAACCAGCAGUGUAAACAAGAGUAGGGCAUUUAUGAGCAGUUGAGAACAGUGAAUAGGAGUAUGACUAGACAGAAGAUAGUAGGGAUGACUAGUUUUUGGGGCUCAGUCCAAGUAGUGGGGGUGACUGCAUAAAGCCCUGUUGCAAAAAGUAGGGUAAGGAUGAAUACACUUAAUAGAAUGAAGGGAUGUAUUAGGCUCAUAAGGGUUAUUACUGUUCUUCAGAAAUGCGAGUGAGUUUAAGGGAAAUAGGGGAGAGUACUUGCGACUUCCAGGAGGAAGAGGAGAAAUCAGGCUGGCUGUCUGACAGACACAGCUUUAUUCUGGAAUAGUGAACCCAAUGGGGAGGGUCCUGCAGGCAGACUGCAGUUGGGGUACUAUAGAUGAUUAAGUAGGGUCCAGUCCAUUGCGGUUGUAGAGUUUGAGGGGUCAGAUUCUUAACAAGAACUGAUCGUCCAGCUAGGGUGUCUUCAUAUGGCUGGGAAUCUGGAGUGGGCAAGAGAAGAUUAGCAGCCUGGCAAAUUUCCUGUCUAGCCUGCUGGAGGACUGGAAGAUAGUCACCUAGAGGGCUGGUGUCUGGAACGAGGUUGGGGCUGAGCAAGAAAGUGCAUCCAUAUAAAAAUUCAAAUGGACUGUACCCUGUAGCAUCUCGAGGACAGGCUCUAAUUCUGAGAAGGACAAGAGGUAAAAGUACUGUCCAGUCCUUUUUAAGUUGGAGGCUGAGCUUGGUGAGGUGUGUCUUUAAAAGACCACUAGUCUGUUCUACCUUUCCCGAAGACUGAGGACGGUAAGGGGUAUGAAGGUUCCACUGAAUACCAAGAGCCUGAGAAACUGCUUGGGUGAUUUGACUUGUAAAGGCUGGUCCGUUAUCAGAGUGUAUAGAGGUGGGAAGGCCAAACCAAGGAAUUAAGUCUGACAGAAGGGAAGAAAUGGCUGCGGUGGCCUUCUCAGACCCUGUGGGAAAGGCCUCUACCCAUCCAGUGAAAGUGUCUACCCAGACCAAGAAGUAUUUUAGUUUCCUGGCUUGGGGCACGUGAGUAAAGUCAAUUUGCCAGUCCUGGGCAGGGGCAAAUCCCUGAGCUCGAUGUGUAGGGAAGGGAGGGGGCCUGAAAAAUCCCUGAGGGGUAGUAGAAUAGCAGAUGGAACAGAGAAGUGAUUUUCUUGAGGAUAGAUUUCCACAGUGGAAAUGAAAUGAGAGGUUCUAAGAGACGGGCUAGUGGCUUAUAACCUACAUGGAAGAGGUUGUGAAAUGACAACAGAAUAGAAUGGGCCUGUAAGGCUGGAAGGAGAUAUUUUCCUUGGUCUAAGAACCAUUUGCCUUGUGUGGGAAGAGAUUGAUAGGUGGAAAUUUCAGUGGGGGAGUAGGCGGGAGUGACCGAUGAGAAGAAGAAAAACUGGCCAUGAGGGACAGAAGUUGGAAUGCUAGCUGCUUCUUUAGCUACCUUAUAAGCAUAAGCGUUGCCUAGAACAAUGGGAUCUGACACCUUUUGAUGGCCCUUGCAGUGAAUGACUCCAGCUUCCUUUGGAAGUGAAGCAGCCUUGAGAAGGGUUUUUAUUAAGGAGGCAUUGAUGAUAGAGGACCCUUGCAUAGUGAGGAAACCUCUUUGUGCCCAUAUAACAGCAUGGUGAUGGAGGAUAUGGAAGGCAUAUUUAGAGUUAGUAUAAAUAUUGACACGUAGUCCCUUUGCAAGAGUGAGGGCUCAAGUUAAGGCAAUGAGUUUGGCUUGCUGAGAGGUAGUGCAGGGGGGCAGAGUGGUAGCCUCAAUGAUAGAUGUGGAAGAUACUAUAGCAUAGCCUGCCUUAGCUGGUGAGUGGUGAUUAGGCCUGGUGGAACUGCCAUCAAUAAACCAAGUGUGAUCAGGGUGAGGAACAGGAAAGAAGGACAUAUGGGGAAAUAGGGUGAAUGUCAGGUGGAUCAGAGGGAUACAGUCAUGGGGGUCAGGUGUGGUAUCCGGAAUAAUGUGAGAGGCCGGAUUGAAGUCCAGGCCAGGAACAAUGGUAAUUGUGGGAGACUCAACAAAGAGUGAGUAUAGCUGAAGGAGCCAGGGGGCAGAAAGUUUAUGCAUCAGGUGUGAGGAAGAAAAUAGAUUUUGGAAGUUAUGAGAGCUGUAGAGAGUCAGUUGAGCAUAGUUUGUGAUUUUGAGGGCCCGUAAAAGUAUUAGGGUGGCAGCAGCCAUCGCACAGAGACAUGAUGGCUAGCCUAAAACAGUAAGGUCAAGUUGUUUGGACAAAAAGGCUACAGGGCACGGUCCCAGUCCUUGUGUAAGAAUUCCUACUGCACAGCCCUGCACUUCGGCUGUGUGUAAUGAAAAUGAGUGGGGAAAGGAUUUAGGGUCUAUGGGGUCAGCUAGGUUUCCUUUUGUGAGUUUAUAUAAUGGUUUUUUUAGGAUAACAAAAUCAGGUAUCCAAAGGCAAAAGUAUCCAACCAUGCCUAGGAAGGAAAGGAGCUGUUGUUUUGUAGAAGGGAUUGGGGUUUGAGAGAUCAGUCAGACACGAUUGGCAGGGAUAGCAUAUGUGUUUUCAUGAAGAAUUAUGCUGAGGUAGGUAACAGAUGGAGAAGAAAUUUGAGCUUUGGAGGGGGAUGAUACCCAAUAUCCUUUGGAGAAUAAAUGUUGAAGGAGCAGGAGGGUGUCUUGUUGAGAAGAUUCAAAGGAGGGGCUACAAAGUAGAAGGUCAUCAAUAUAUUGAAUCAGGUGAGAAGCAGAGGGGUGGAAAGAAAGUAAAUCAUGAGAAAGAGUUUGGCUGAAGUAAUGAGGGCUGUCCCUGAAGCCUUGCAGCAGUACGGCCCAGGUAAGCUGCUGGGACUGAUGGGUGUCAGGGUCAGUCCAGGUAAAAGCAAAGAGAGGCUGGGACAAGGGGUGCAGGGGAAUAGUGAAAAAAGCAUCUUUAAGAUCAAGAACAGAAUAGUGAGUUGUGGAGGAAGGUAUUGAGGACAAAAGAGUGUACAGAUUGGGCACUACAGGGUGGAUAGGCAAAACAAUU
RNAcentral lists this long non-coding RNA (9632 nucleotides) under Homo sapiens (human). RNAcentral's name for it is "HSALNT0105996". The record is from RNAcentral. Lineage: Eukaryota; Metazoa; Chordata; Mammalia; Primates; Hominidae.